GAAGGAACAAAACGCAGUGGACUCGAGCGGCUCGGGGUCUUCCUCCCACCCAUGCGCUUCUGCUCCCGUGCCCUGUGUCUCAGCACGUCCCCGGACCUGCUGCAUGCAACUCGUUACACGCCCCGGCAGGGUAAACCCCAAGGACUGCAAACCCGUUGAGUGCCGGGCAAGCUUUAGAAUCCGGAGUAUCCUCAUAAUCCGAAAUAUUUGGACCACUCGUCGUACAUUUUGGAACUGAAGUACACUUUUAUUGGAUUCUGUGAGGAAGAUAGUGACAUAGUACGGUUUCCUCACAGUGACCUUUCUCAGCGAGCCUCACAAUCACAGAAUAUCCACCGCUACCACCUGGGGCACUGGAGAAAGAAAUUCUUGCGGGAUUUCUCCUCGGUCAAGCCCAGCACAGAUAUCCUAACAGUCCGAAAAUAUCAGACUUCUAAACAGUUAUCCCUGCAUGGAGACUCUCUAAAGUGGAACAAGCCUUGCUGCUGUAGGAGAAACACACAGUCCCAACAUGGCUCAGAGACAGUGCUGUCCUCAAGUAGAGCCUCACCUCUUCCUCAAGGCUGAAAGGUUCACUUCUCUUUGACCAGAAAACCCAAUGGGACAAGUCUGGACUUGAGCAGGAAUGAUACCUCAGUGGUGAAUGAGGGUCCAGCUGCUUAGGCAAGUGGUCACUGUAGAAGAAGUGCCUGUUGUCCCUGUUCCAGGGCACUGACCCAAAACCUUGCUGCCGAGUCACUGCCAACUGCUUCUUGAAAUGGAAGUGAGCACGGGGAGAGGGCCUCCCGCUGUAGCACUUGUUUUCAUGAUCCCUUAGGACACACGCAGCACGGCCUUAUGCUGGUGGAAACUUUUGCACAAGCAAUCAAAGAGCUGAGGUUGAACGUGCUCAAGCACAGAAAGGUCCCUAGAGUGCAGGCUUGGGCUUGUGGAAAGAACCUGGGAAGGGAAGUUUAGCGUUCAGGAGUGCUGCUAAAAUGUAAACUCCUAUUACAGAGUUGCUGUGCCCCCUGCUAGGUCUUGCUCCUGGCUCAUCUGGCAUAUGUUGGCAUGUGUGGGGGCUGCAGAAGGCACCUCCAACAUCACUGCAGGCACAUCCAGAACUUUUGGGGCUGGAUGCCCCUUGUCUGCAGUAAGCCCUAUAAAACAUAACUAAAACAAUGGAAAAGCUUGCAGCCUAAAACUUGGAGGCACAAAAUAGUGAAAGGACUGGCUUGAGGACAGGUCACAUCAGCAGCAGAGGCAGCGCUCCUAAUGACAGCACUGGGUUGCAGUGCAAGUCUCAGUAUGUACAGGCAGAAUUCCAGAAAAAAACCCUUAUCUUCCACUAAACUGACUGUUUGGCAAAGAUUUUUAUUGAGUGAAGCUCUGGAUUGCUGCCGUGAUUCCUUCGUGAAAGUUAAACAACCCAAGGACACGCAGGGCAAGAUUUUGAAUGAAUCGAAACCAGUUGCCUCCAAGUGAUUAUCAUGAUUGUACAUGCAUGCUGGUUAUUACACAUGCAAAUGAGACAGGCAAACUGAUUAUCUGAGUAAGCGUAGCCAGUUUGUAUGUAACCGCUACUUCCUGAGGCAGGAUGGAUGCGCCACGCUUGCAAGCCAUUAAUGUCCACUUCCUCCAACACCCCUUCCCCUCUCCCCAAACCGGGCAGCAACCUCUACCAGACGUCUGAGGAGAUAUCGACUGCACAGGGCCUGAUCCUGCUUCCCGGGUGAGACUGGUACAAUGGAUUCAUCCUUCGUGUUGGCAAGAUCUGGGCUCAUCCCUGGGGGGAAAAGGGCUUCCACAAAGAAGGCAGUCUGUUCAGAAAUUUCCCGUCUCUCUCUGGAGCUCGUGGUAGCAGCAGAUUGUGGGCAGCAAAGUCGUGAAUGCCACCCCCAAGGCAGCACAGGGUGAGGUAAGUUUUAGGCAGCAGGGACUAACCCAAUAUUUAGGCUUGGUGAUAUUUAUCGCUUGAUUAUCUGUUCUUUGCACUGCUAAAGACCCUAACU
This is a long non-coding RNA of Cuculus canorus (common cuckoo), 1991 nucleotides long. RefSeq lists it as uncharacterized. The record is from RefSeq and is a predicted model, not a curated record. The transcript is spliced from 4 exons. Lineage: Eukaryota; Metazoa; Chordata; Aves; Cuculiformes; Cuculidae.